CUCUCUCUCUCUCUCUCUCUCUCUCUCUCUCUCAUAGGCGUGCAAGUACACACACACACAAUUCAAGAUGGAGCGAUCCGGACGUAUGUUUUCAACUGUCUUCAUCCUCGUCCUGCUCUUUGUGGCUAUUGGUAUUUUUCUCUUUCCUCAUUUUAAUUCUAUCUUUAUAUUUGUAUAGUGGUAUAUUUCUUUCCAAUAUUGAAAGACGUUUCAAGUUUGAAUCCACCUUCUCUCGUUAAUUUAUCGAUGCAUCUUUGGCAGGGACGGGUCCAAUGGUUGCUGAGGGCAAGGCGGCAACAAAGGAGAAUUCGAGGACUUGUGAGUCUCUGAGCACGAAAUUCAAGGGACUUUGCUUCCGAUCAAGCAACUGUGCAGAUACUUGCAAAAAAGAGGGCUUCCUGGAAGGCAAAUGUGCUGGCUUCAGGCUGAGAUGUACAUGCACUAAGAAAUGUUAGUGAUAUAACACACUAACUUAUUUUGGUGCAUAGGAUUGAGAAGAAUGAAAAUUUAUAUUGCCCUUUUUUUUGUUUUGUUUAAGAG
This 540-nucleotide long non-coding RNA is filed under the name Prunus dulcis (almond). RNAcentral describes it as "sRNA ncRNA". The record is from RNAcentral. Lineage: Eukaryota; Viridiplantae; Streptophyta; Magnoliopsida; Rosales; Rosaceae.